UGGGGAAUUUUGGACAAUGGGCGAAAGCCUGAUCCAGCAAUGCCGCGUGUGUGAAGAAGGCCUUCGGGUCGUAAAGCACUUUUGUCCGGAAAGAAAUCCUUGGCUCUAAUACAGUCGGGGGAUGACGGUACCGGAAGAAUAAGCACCGGCUAACUACGUGCCAGCAGCCGCGGUAAUACGUAGGGUGCAAGCGUUAAUCGGAAUUACUGGGCGUAAAGCGUGCGCAGGCGGUUUGCUAAGACCGAUGUGAAAUCCCCGGGCUCAACCUGGGAACUGCAUUGGUGACUGGCAGGCUAGAGUAUGGCAGAGGGGGGUAGAAUUCCACGUGUAGCAGUGAAAUGCGUAGAGAUGUGGAGGAAUACCGAUGGCGAAGGCAGCCCCCUGGGCCAAUACUGACGCUCAUGCACGAAAAGCGUGGGGAGCAAACAGGAUUAGAUACCCUGGUAGUCCACGCCCUAAACGAUGUCAACUAGUUGUUGGGGAUUCAUUUCCUUAGUAACGUAGCUAACGCGUGAAGUUGACCGCCUGGGGAGUACGGUCGCAAGAUUAAAACUUAAAGGAAUUGACGGGGUCAUAGCUGUUUCCU
RNAcentral lists this ribosomal RNA (586 nucleotides) under uncultured bacterium. RNAcentral describes it as "partial 16S ribosomal RNA". It matches the Rfam family "Bacterial small subunit ribosomal RNA", at positions 355 to 1375 of the family's 1533-position model. The record is from RNAcentral.